This 529-nucleotide ribosomal RNA is filed under the name Zorotypus asymmetristernum. Its description in RNAcentral is "bacterial SSU rRNA". It matches the Rfam family "Eukaryotic small subunit ribosomal RNA", at positions 56 to 554 of the family's 1831-position model. Lineage: Eukaryota; Metazoa; Arthropoda; Insecta; Zoraptera; Zorotypidae. The record is from RNAcentral.
AGUGUAGUGUAUACUUAAAAAGAAAGUGAAACCGCGGAUGGCUCAGUAUAUCAGUUAUAAUUCCCUUGAUCAUCGGCCGUAUGGUCAACGUGGCUAACCGUGGCAAUUCCAGGGCUAAUACAUGCAACAGAUCCCCGACCUUGCGGAAAGGGAGCUUUUAUUAGUUUACAAAACCAACCUUGGUUCGGCUUCAUGCCGUUUCCGAAACAUUUGUGAUGACUCUGGAUAACACGACAGAUCGCACAGCCUUCGAGCUUGGCGACGCAUCAUUCAAAUGCCUGCUCUAUCAACUAGGAUGGUCGAUUAAACGCCUACCAUGGUGUUGACGGGUAACGGGGAAUCAGGGUUCGAUUCCGGAGAGGGAGCCUGAGAAAUAGCUGCCACAUCCAAGGAAGGCAGCAGGCGCGCAAAUUACCCACUCCCAGCCCGGGGAGGUAGUGACGAAGUAUAACGAUACGGGACUCCCAUCCGAGGCCCCGUGAUCGGAAUGAGACCUGUUCAGAGAACGGGCUCGAGUAUCCAUUGGAGG